This 265-nucleotide signal recognition particle RNA is filed under the name Anaerolineae bacterium. RNAcentral's name for it is "signal recognition particle sRNA large type". It matches the Rfam family "Bacterial large signal recognition particle RNA". Rfam says of the family: The signal recognition particle (SRP) is a universally conserved ribonucleoprotein involved in the co-translational targeting of proteins to membranes. Archaeal SRP consists of a 7S RNA and homologues of the eukaryotic SRP19 and SRP54 proteins. The record is from RNAcentral. Lineage: Bacteria; Bacillati; Chloroflexota; Anaerolineae.
UCGUGCUAGAUGGGGCAGUGGCGGCGCCCUGUACCCGCAGUCCGCCAUAGCGGGAUCGAAUUCCCUCUCGAGGGCUUGCGGCUGUCUAAACUGCCGGUACGACGCAGCGUUGAAGGUUGGGUCCUGCGCGGCGGGAGCCUGUGAACCUGGUCAGGUCCGGAAGGAAGCAGCCAUAAGCAGUCCCUCUCGGGUGACGCAGGGUAGCCUGGCCGGAGCUGUCGCGUGUCGGUAAGCAGGCAAGUGCAGUUCGACAGAGGGUGCACGA